CCUGUAAUCGAUAAUCCACGUUAAUUUGACCUAAGUUUGGAAAAUCAGCUUGUAUAUCGCUGUCGUAAGAUUAUUUCAUGAGAAAUUUUUCGAUAAUGAAUGUUUAUUUAUGACAAGUCAAGGUGCAGCAUAUGCUUAGGGUUGAGAUGGGUUACAGUAUGGGAACAUAUAUGGAUCUUUAUUUGUAAAAGUGGAUUGAAGGUGGAUUUAAUUGUAAUAAGGAAAUAUAAUUUCUUUAUG
RNAcentral lists this ribosomal RNA (240 nucleotides) under Scutigera coleoptrata (house centipede). RNAcentral describes it as "partial 12S ribosomal RNA". Lineage: Eukaryota; Metazoa; Arthropoda; Chilopoda; Scutigeromorpha; Scutigeridae. The record is from RNAcentral.